Regulatory RNA element from Peptoanaerobacter stomatis, 98 nucleotides. It matches the Rfam family "pemK RNA". NCBI's taxonomy places the organism in Bacteria, Bacillati, Bacillota, Clostridia, Peptostreptococcales, Filifactoraceae. The record is from Rfam.
AUAAUGAUACUCCCUUACAGCCACAGUCCGAGCGUUAGAAGCGUCGCAGGCAAUGGGUAGGGCUGGAUGAGAACCAUGCAGGGGUGAAAUUCCCGUGA